UACGUAGGGUGCAAGCGUUGUCCGGAAUUAUUGGGCGUAAAGAGCUCGUAGGCGGUUUGUCGCGUCUGCUGUGAAAACUCGGGGCUUAACCCCGGGCCUGCAGUGGGUACGGGCAGACUAGAGUGCGGUAGGGGAGACUGGAAUUCCUGGUGUAGCGGUGAAAUGCGCAGAUAUCAGGAGGAACACCAGUGGCGAAGGCGCCACUCUGGGCCGUAACUGACGCUGAGGAGCGAAAGCGUGGGUAGCAAACAGG
RNAcentral lists this ribosomal RNA (253 nucleotides) under uncultured bacterium. RNAcentral's name for it is "partial 16S ribosomal RNA". It matches the Rfam family "Bacterial small subunit ribosomal RNA", at positions 524 to 776 of the family's 1533-position model. The record is from RNAcentral.